RNAcentral lists this long non-coding RNA (1546 nucleotides) under Felis catus (domestic cat). Its description in RNAcentral is "lncRNA (ENSFCAG00000045083.2)". Lineage: Eukaryota; Metazoa; Chordata; Mammalia; Carnivora; Felidae. The record is from RNAcentral.
GCCGGUCCAAGCCUCUCCCAAAGCCCCUGCUCCUCCUCCUCCUCCAGCCCUCCACUCCCGUCCCUCGAUCCUCCCCGCCAUCCCCCCCCCUUCUCCUUCUCUCUCCCUCUCAUCUGUCUUCUUCCCUUCCUUCAUCCAACACCUCUGCGGGGGGGAAAACCGAGGCCCCAGUGAGCCCACGGCAGGUCUGGGGCUCCAACCUGGCUCUGCCGCACGGCUCUGCCUUCCCUCCUUCUCUGCCCCCCAGCCCUGUCUGCACCCCCCAAAGCCAAGUGCUGGAGGUGGCCCCCUGGAUCCGCACAUGAGAAAAUGGGGAAGCUGCCCGUCCCCGCUGAGCCUGAGGACGCCAGGUCUCCCCUGUCUCUGCCCAUCUCUGUCUCUUUCCCUUGGGUGCCCCGAGCCAGACCUGUGUCUCCCCAGAUUAUCAGGUCGAUAGACAUUGGGAAGACAAGACAACGAAACUCCAGUGCGGUUCAGUGCUCACCGUUAGAAAAAGGUAACGGCUGCCAGAGGUGCAGGUGGAGACGUCAGGCGAGUCAGUGCUGAGGGCAGGAGUCUCAGGUCUCCGCUGCCGUGUCACGGCGAGCCGCUCCGAGCCCCGUGGGGACCACGGACAGCGAAGGGGUAGUGUGCCGCUCGGUGCCGUCUCGCAGAAAUCCGCUGAUCCCCGGCCACGAUGUGCUUUCCGUUGGCCAAAUGGGAUCUGGGAGUAAUCUGAGGGAGGCGGUUUGGGACUGAUUGUAUUAGGGCUCUUGUCUGAUCCACUCAGGGGGCUGCUGUGGUCCCUGGGCCGGGGGGCGGGGGGGAGGGGGGCAGCGGGGAGGAUGGCUCUGGUGUAGGUUUUUCCGGGCCUGAGCGGUCAGGAGAGUCGGAUCCUUGCCGUAUCGUAUUGUUACAUCACUUGCAGAGGCUUCCGGGGGUCGGGGGGAAAGUAGGCAAUGCAUUUGGCCAAGACUGACCCAGCUUCUCUGUGGGUCCGGUUCAUAACAGCUCGUUGAAGCAAUCACUGGUGAAUGUGAGCACUUUGCGAUCAUCUGGUCUAAGACAGGCUCCCUCUCCCCUCCCCCCUCCCCCCUCCCCCCUCCCUCCUCCCUCCUCCUUUCUAAAUUCAGAAUUCUCCUGAUUUGUCUCUUCAAGAUCUUCUCUUAAUAGACUGCUUUUUAGAGUAGUGUUAGGUGAUGGAAAAAUGCAGAAAAUAGAGCUCCCACGUACCCCCUGCCCCCUCCACAUUUCCCCCGUUGUCACCAUCUUGCCGUAGUGGGGCACAUUUGUUGCGGUCGAUGGGCCGAUAUUAAUACGUGACCGUUGACCAAAGUCCUCGUUGACAUUCGGGUUCAGUCUUCGCCUCGCCCCUCCCCCGGCCCAGGAGGUCGGUAACAGGGUCCUGCCCGAAAAGGGGUUUGCUUCCCAGGAGGACACGGGGCGCUUGGACAUGGCAGCAGCUCCCGAGCUAGUGUGUCCCGCUGGGCACAGACUCUCAAGUAGCAGUCGGCCUGUCUUCUCCCCUGACGCGUAGUUUCACGGCCCUGUUUGGGGCAGUUUGGGG